This 1160-nucleotide ribosomal RNA is filed under the name Klebsiella sp. RNAcentral's name for it is "bacterial SSU rRNA". It matches the Rfam family "Bacterial small subunit ribosomal RNA", at positions 9 to 1161 of the family's 1533-position model. Lineage: Bacteria; Pseudomonadati; Pseudomonadota; Gammaproteobacteria; Enterobacterales; Enterobacteriaceae. The record is from RNAcentral.
GAGUUUGAUCCUGGCUCAGAUUGAACGCUGGCGGCAGGCCUAACACAUGCAAGUCGAGCGGUAGCACAGAGAGCUUGCUCUCGGGUGACGAGCGGCGGACGGGUGAGUAAUGUCUGGGAAACUGCCUGAUGGAGGGGGAUAACUACUGGAAACGGUAGCUAAUACCGCAUAACGUCGCAAGACCAAAGUGGGGGACCUUCGGGCCUCAUGCCAUCAGAUGUGCCCAGAUGGGAUUAGCUGGUAGGUGGGGUAACGGCUCACCUAGGCGACGAUCCCUAGCUGGUCUGAGAGGAUGACCAGCCACACUGGAACUGAGACACGGUCCAGACUCCUACGGGAGGCAGCAGUGGGGAAUAUUGCACAAUGGGCGCAAGCCUGAUGCAGCCAUGCCGCGUGUGUGAAGAAGGCCUUCGGGUUGUAAAGCACUUUCAGCGGGGAGGAAGGCGGUGAGGUUAAUAACCUCAUCGAUUGACGUUACCCGCAGAAGAAGCACCGGCUAACUCCGUGCCAGCAGCCGCGGUAAUACGGAGGGUGCAAGCGUUAAUCGGAAUUACUGGGCGUAAAGCGCACGCAGGCGGUCUGUCAAGUCGGAUGUGAAAUCCCCGGGCUCAACCUGGGAACUGCAUUCGAAACUGGCAGGCUAGAGUCUUGUAGAGGGGGGUAGAAUUCCAGGUGUAGCGGUGAAAUGCGUAGAGAUCUGGAGGAAUACCGGUGGCGAAGGCGGCCCCCUGGACAAAGACUGACGCUCAGGUGCGAAAGCGUGGGGAGCAAACAGGAUUAGAUACCCUGGUAGUCCACGCUGUAAACGAUGUCGAUUUGGAGGUUGUGCCCUUGAGGCGUGGCUUCCGGAGCUAACGCGUUAAAUCGACCGCCUGGGGAGUACGGCCGCAAGGUUAAAACUCAAAUGAAUUGACGGGGGCCCGCACAAGCGGUGGAGCAUGUGGUUUAAUUCGAUGCAACGCGAAGAACCUUACCUGGUCUUGACAUCCACAGAACUUUCCAGAGAUGCUUUGGUGCCUUCGGGAACUGUGAGACAGGUGCUGCAUGGCUGUCGUCAGCUCGUGUUGUGAAAUGUUGGGUUAAGUCCCGCAACGAGCGCAACCCUUAUCCUUUGUUGCCAGCGGUUAGGCCGGGAACUCAAAGGAGACUGCCAGUGAUAA